AGUGAACGCUGGCGGUAGGCCUAACACAUGCAAGUCGAACGGCAGCACAGUAAGAGCUUGCUCUUACGGGUGGCGAGUGGCGGACGGGUGAGGAAUACAUCGGAUUCUACUUUUUCGUGGGUGAUAACGUAGGGCAACUUACGCUAAUACCGCAUACGUCCAACGGCUGAAAGCAGGGGAUCAUCGGACCUUGCGCGAUUGAUUGAGCUGAUGCCGGAUUAGCUAGUUGGCGGGGUAAAGGCCCACCAAGGCGACGAUCCGUAGCUGGUCUGAGAGGAUGAUCAGCCAAACUGGAACUGAGACACGGUCCAGACUCCUACGGGAGGCAGCAGUGGGGAAUAUUGGACAAUGGGCGCAAGCCUGAUCCAGCCAUGCCGCGUGGGUGAAGAAGGCCUUCGGGUUGUAAAGCCCUUUUGUUGGGAAAGAAAAGCAGCAGGUUAAUACCCCGAUGUUCUGACGGUACCCAAAGAAUAAGCACCGGCUAACUUCGUG
This 492-nucleotide ribosomal RNA is filed under the name uncultured bacterium. Its description in RNAcentral is "partial 16S ribosomal RNA". It matches the Rfam family "Bacterial small subunit ribosomal RNA", at positions 29 to 507 of the family's 1533-position model. The record is from RNAcentral.